AUUCCAGCAGCCCCCCCCCCUUACGAGGAAGAGGCGUCCUGCUCUGGGGCUCCUUUGCCUCGGAGACUCAGCUCCUUGUCACUUCUAUUCGCACUACCCUUACUCCUACCUGCUAACAGACCUUCAGCAAAUCUCGCAUUGGAGUUCUCCAGGAGAGAAUCUGGUUGCUUUGGGCUCGGCUGUACGGCAGAGCUUUUGCCCUGGACAACUAGAAACCCCUGCCUUUUGGGGAGGCAUCCAUCCUCGGUUUAUUUAUCUUCUUUUGCCUGGUAAUGAAAGCUGAGCUGACAGACUGAACUGGACAUGAUGCAUUUACCAAAAGAUGAGAAACCUGAGGCAGAGCCGGUUCCCGUGACUUCAGGCUCAGGGCACUUCAGGCACCACCAGUUGGUGGCGGAUCCGGGACCGAGGAUGGCAGGGGGCGCAGCGCAUCUUCAUGCCGGACAGUAGCUGACACGUGAUCGGAGCACAGUGAGUGAACUGGCGAGCAGAGAGACUGGUGACUUGUCCAGGUUCAUAGAGCUGGCUGGGGGCAGAGCUGGGGAGAACGAUCUCAGAGGGCUUACCUCCCAGGGCUGAUGGCGUGAUGUGACCACAACCAAGCAACAGCAAAGAAGACACUUUUACACACACACCUCAUUUACAUCAUGUUUCAUAUCAUGCUUUGCUACAAUAAAGCAUGAAGCCAUUCAGUUCUGCUGCUGGAGAUGUAAAAGGGGACAGGGUAUAUAUCAUGUGCACUGGACGGUGGAGAAGAUGGUGAAUGCCUGGAGAGGAGAGAUUUGGAAAUCAGAUGACCUGCCACUUCUUAGAUAGUGACCUUGGGCAGAUGACUUCGUACCACUGAGCCUCAGUUUCCUCCUCUGCAAAAAUGGAAAUAGCCAUGUCCGUAUUGUAUCAAGGAUUACGUAUGUGAAGUCCCUAUUCCAGGCCUGGGCCAUAGUGAGCCCUCAAUGAGUGAAGCUAUUAUUCACGUUGUUGGUGUUACUAUCAGUAUAUAUUUGUGUCUCCUCCAAGCAGAGUGCUGAGCCCACAGUGGGCAGGAACUGUGUCUUUCUCAUUUCUCUCUGCACCCCUGAUGCCCAGCACCUUGCCUGGCACAAAGCUGGCGCUUGAUGAAAGGCUGCUGGAUUAAACUCAGAAACUUGUUAUUCCUCAUUUGCGUGUGGCCCUUUGCACUUUUUCAGAUCCUCUGGAUAUGUAUUCUACCUGAGCCUUGCCAAAUGCCUGUGGGGCAGGCAAGGCGGGUGGUAUACAUGAUCACCCCCAUUUUAUAGCUGGAAGAAGUUGAGGCUUAGAGAGGUGAUGCCUCCUGCCCAAGUCACAAGGCUGAGCUGAGCUGGGACCAGGCUCUCCAGUCUCCAGGAGCCACCGCCACUGUGUGAAAACGAGCUACAGGAAGCAGAAGGUGCUGCAAUGAACCGAGUUAGGAAGACAGCCCCACCCCCACCCCCAUCUCCGCCAUCAAAUCCCAGCAUUUCUUGCCCAUAGACUCAAAAGGGCUUGGCCCCUCUUCCUGGCUGGGCUCGGCCCUGUUCUUCAAUCCAAGGUGAAGCCAGAUGCCACUGGCAUCAGGAAGUACCUGGGGAGCCAUGUGGAUGUCAGUGCAUUUCAGCCAGGGGUUUGGGGUGCUGCCUGGGGCACUCAGAGGAGCUCAGAGAGCCCUAAGUGGGCUGCAGAAGACACCCCGGGUCUGCAUCCCAGCCAGGGCUGACAGCCUUGCUGACAGGUUUAUUACCCGAUUUAUGACUUCCAAGCUUAGUCACUGCUUAAGUCAGCCUGCCCUGAAACAAACACAUAGCAAAGCCGUGACCCAGAUGCUUAAGCUGGGAAAGGCACGCCCCACCCUCGGCAGAACGCGCCUCCCAGGCCAAGUCCGGGGCGGCGAGGAGGCAGCGGGCCUGUGGGCAUGUUGCAUUUCGGUGACCCGCACACUUGCCCUUUGUUUUCCUCCAGUCUCCACUACCCAGUUUCUAGGCUUAGGAAGCAGGAGCCUGCUGCCAGCUGCAACAGCCCAACACACGCCAAGAGUGUCUGAGCCCCCGGCCCCCAGCCCUUCCUUGAGAGCUGAGCCCCGAAGGGUGAAAGGGGAGGGUUGGUGCAUCCUCUGGCAGGUGAAGCACCCGCUGUAAAUGCCCUCCUUGCUUUGGGGUAACAGCCUAUGAUGGAAGCUGGAAUCUUAACCCAAUAGGUUCCUAUUCCUGCCCCUGCUCUCCCUCCACUUGGGUUCCGUUAAAACCAGACCCACUCCAGAAGCUCUCCAGCCUUGGCCGAGGUCUGCAGUCCUUCCGCUUGCUUGGGACCCAGCAGGUGGCAGGACAGGCGGCCACUGUAGCAGAGACAGUCCGCAGCCAGACCCUGAGGAAGUGCUGGCAUGUAAUUGUGUGUGUUCCCAGCCUCGCUUGGGGGACAGGCCACCCCCGGCUGCAACAGAGCCCCAGGGGCCAGCGACCCAGUGACUGUCACUCUAAUGGAGGGCACUGGAAGCACACCAAGGCCCAGACAGGGGCCUCCCAGCCAGUGGCAGCCCGAUCCAAGGAAAAAGUCACCCCACAAAUUAUUUACUAAUUGUUAGAAGGGUUUGCUGAAUGAUUUGUGCUACAUUUAGAGAAUAAAGGUCACAUUCUUUUAAAAAAUGUUUAUGUAUUAAUGUAAACAGUCCAGAUGACAGAUCUUGUACAUCAGCUGACCCCCUGCCUCCAGCCUUACCCAGGGACCAGGCACUCGGUCCCACCUGGUUUUGCCCCUGCUCUGGGUUCAGUCGGAGACACCCAUUGACAGUCAGGCGUUCAUGCCAAAUGGGGCCUUCUCUUGCUAAGUGGGUUCUCAUGCUAAGAUGUCUUUUCCCAUCUUGAGCCCAGAUCCCUCCGAAUCCCUUUUGCUCCCCUGGCUUUGGCUGGUGCAGAGCCAGGCCCGGAGGAGGAAACACCUCCCGUCCCAGGCAGCCCCGGCCAUUGGCAUUAGACCCCGUGUCCUCGCAGAGCUCUUCCUUUCUGGCUCCCUCCCUUUGCGUGGCUGAGCCCUGCUCCUGGGUGGGUGGAGUCUCCCUGAGAAGGUGGCAGCCCGGCCCAGAAGGCUCACUCUCUGCAAGCCCUACCUGGGCCACAGGAGACCCCCAUGAGGGCUGGGUUUGGUGAGUGCAGGAUUAG
Molecule: long non-coding RNA, 3149 nt
Organism: Choloepus didactylus (southern two-toed sloth)
Lineage: Eukaryota; Metazoa; Chordata; Mammalia; Pilosa; Megalonychidae
Exons: 4
Source: RefSeq, a predicted model, not a curated record